This 20790-nucleotide long non-coding RNA is filed under the name Lynx pardinus (Iberian lynx). Lineage: Eukaryota; Metazoa; Chordata; Mammalia; Carnivora; Felidae. The record is from RNAcentral.
GCCGGGCCGGGUAAGCGGGGGCGGGGCCCAGCCGCCGGUGUCGCCUCAGGUUUGCCCCCUGCCCCUCGGCCUGGUAACGGCUGGCGAGCCCGGGCCGUGGGAGGGCCCUGAGGAGCGAAAAUCGAGAACCGCCAAAUUCUGCGCUUCGAAUCCUCGCCCUCUGCCGGAGGGACUGUGGGAGAACGGCGCUCUGGCCAGCUCUGUGAUAGGCAGUUAGCGAUGAGGGGGCGUGUCUUCUAUACUAAGUGUGGUGGGCGUUGAGGUUUAUAGACUUCUUUCUUAAAAUAUAGGGGCGCCUGGGUGGCGCAGUCGGUUGAGCGUCCGACUUCAGCCAGGUCACGAUCUCGCGGUCCGUGAGUUCGAGCCCCGCGUCGGGCUCUGGGCUGAUGGCUCAGAGCCUGGAGCCUGUUUCCGAUUCUGUGUCUCCCUCUCUCUCUGCCCCUCCCCCGUUCAUGCUCUGUCUCUCUCUGUCCCAAAAAUAAAUAAACGUUGAAAAAAAAAUUAAAAAAAAAAUAAAUAAAAUAUGAAGCCGGUCCCAGGCUGAUUCUGUAAAUGCACAGAAAGUGUUUAGAUUUUAAAAACCUCCUCCCGCGUUAGGAGAAGUGAGCCGGGAAAUCAAGACAGCAUACACACUAUCACCAGGGUCCCUCUGUUACCUCAAAAGGGUCAGUUGACUUUCUGGGCUUCCUUUGUCAGCUGUAGAAUGGAAGAUCCCCAGGGCUUUCAGUUCUGGAUUCUGUAAAAGCCUCACCACGUGUGUCCUUACUGGUGGUGGCUGCUAACAGUGACCGGGGCAAAGAGAAUGCAAGGUGCUCGCGACUCUGGUGGGGAGACAAGCCCUGUGCUCAGGAGCUGCCAGUCAGCAGAAACUGGGCGAGUCCAUCUCAGGGUCAGGGGUAAUAUAGAUUAUAGAUGUGUACCAUCAGGGGAUCUGGGCCGACGAAGGAGGAGAGGGCUGUAUUUUGAGAAGAGGGGAGAGCUCUCAGACUGGGAAGAGGGGGGUACAGUGUACAAGAGUCAGGAUGGCGUGAUGAGUCAGUGGGGCCACUGUCACAAGCAUAUAGAAUACUUCCAUGACCUUUUCUGGGGUCAGGUCAAGCUCAUCAUCCUGAGGCUGAGUGGGUGGGUGGCUGGGGUCUCUAGCCCCAGCCAGGCGUUUUAACAUGGAUGAGUAAUUCAAGUCUGCCUCAUCGGAAAGACCUGUGUGAUUGUGAUUUGCCUGAAGAGGAGGGGAUAAGGGAUAGACGAUGGUUUGUGGGAUUCUUUCAGGGCUGUAUUUUACUAAUUUGUUUUUCCAAAAGUGCCUAGCAGAGAACGCUGCACACAGUGGGUUCUCAUUUGUGUUUUUAAAAUCUAAUUCCAAGGGGCGCCUAGGUGGCUCAGUCGGUUAGGCGUCCGACUUCGGCUCAUGUCAUGAUCUCAUCGCUUGUGACUUCGAGGCUCCCCCCACCCCGUGCUGACAGCUCAGCCUGGAGCCUGCUUCAGAUUCCGUGUCUCCUUCUCUCUGUGCCCCUCCCGCAUUCAUGCUCUGUCUGUCUCUCUCAAAAGUAAAUAAACAUGAAAAAAAAAUUUAAAUCUAAUGCCAAAAUCACAGAAUGCAAAGCAUGGUGAACUCUCUUUCACACCUUCCCCCGCCCCCCAUCUCCCCACCUCCCAGUCUGAUAGUAACAAUAGAAAUCCUUCUCUUGUUCAUUCCAUCCUUGGUGCCUAUAAUUCUUUUGAUGGUAGACAAAGGCCUUUUUAUUCCAUAUUUAGGCCAUUCCUGCAAUAUUGUCCUUAAUUCUGGGCAAGAGGGACUUCCUGCAAUAUUGUCUUCCAUACUUUGGAAGAGGGACUUUACUGAACUGCAACAUGUUCAAGAGAGGAUGAGCAACAUGAUUAGGGGCCUAUAAAUCAUGUCAUAUGAGGAACAGUUGGGCAUAUUUGAAUUGCAGGGACGUGGUACUCAGUGGGGGAGGUGACAGAUGUAUUUAAAUAAAGUGAAAGGCUGCCAGGAGGAGAAGGACUUGUUUCAUAUUUCUCAAGUGAGGAGAAACCAUAGGGGGCUAAUUUUGUUUAGCAUGACUGAGAACCUUUUAAUGAUCAGAACAGUCCAGAAAUGGAAUGGGCUGCCCCAGGAAGCCUUGAUUUACAAUCAGGGGAGGUGUUUACUCAGACUGGAUUCCAUGUGUGGCGAUUAUUAUAGGAGAAUUGAUGCAGCGGGUGAAAAAUUAGGGGAAAAGGCCUUCUGAGGUCACUUCCAGACAUCUGAUAUUGUACGUUAAACUUUAUUUUAUUUGAUAUAUUUUAAAUAUUUAUUUUUGAGAGCGAGAGAGUGUGAGUGGGGAGGAGCAGAGAGAGAGGAGGACAGAGGAUCAGAAGUGGGCUCUGGCUGAUAGCACAGACCUAGAUGUAGGGCUCAAACUCAUGAACUGGGAGAUCAUGAUCUGAGCUAAAGUUGGAUGCUUAACCAACUGAGCCACCCAGGUGCCCCUAUAUGUUAAAUUUUAGUUGAGAAUAUCUGACCUUGGGGCACCUGGGUGGCUUAGUCGGUUGAGUGUCUGACUUGAUUUCAGGUCUGGUCAUGAUCCCAGGAUCAUGGGCUCGAACCUGGAAAUAGAGCUCGGCAUGAAGUCUGCUUAAGAUUCUCUCUCUCUCUCUCUCUCUCUCUCUCUCUCUCUCUGUCUGUCUCUUCUCUCUCCCUCUUCCCUGCUUGCAUGUGUGCUUUAUCUCUCUGUCUCAAAUUAAAAAAAAAAAAAGGCAUAUCUGACCUCAGCUGAUUUACACUGAAGCUUCUUUCUUGAGAGUGGACGUUUGGGGAGUAGGAAUGUCAGGUGAGGGGACUAAUAAAUUGUAAAUAGGGAGGUAGUAGACAAGGUGAGAAAGAGCCCAAGAAAGGGGGCAAUCCUAAAGGAAGGCUGCCCUAGCCACCUCACAGUUUGGUGUUUUGUAUUCUGGGGUCAUUCUGUUUAGCUUUGGAGAUGUGCCAUGUGGCUUAGUGAGUAUAUUGGUGCAUAGCUUUCUCUCUCUUUCCUUCCUACUAGGUCCUUUCUGUAAAGCACACUCUAUUUCCUUGUUGCUACUAACCCCGAUCAGUUGGAGUGGCAGAUUUAAAGAUGAAAUGACAAGCAGUUUAAAUUAACCAGUGGAAUCUAGACUUAUGUUCUAUUUUUAUUCCUUCCCUGUUAUUGUGUAGGUCAGUAGGUAGACAUUUGAUUCACAUACCCAAUGUGCUUCUCUUGCCUUGGCUUUUAGUUGGUUUUGUCAGCCUUAUUUGAUUUUGUUUUGAUUGGAGCCCAGCUUCAUUGUCUGGAGAUUAUCUUCACGUAAUACAAUGCACUAAAGGCAAAGCUAUCCUGCCUGCAACCAUUGCCUGAUGGUCGACAUUUCCCCUCUCAGUUUACAUUACAGCCGCAUCUGGCACAUCACAUAACAUCCUUUUUUAUUAUUAUUGAUAUGGGAUGUGAAAACAUUUUGAAAGUGGAAACACCAUACAAGUGUAAAUUACUAUUAUAGGUAAUAUACAGGUCUUAGGAGGGGGACUUUACAUAGAUAUUUGUUAGUACCUCAUAGCAGGACAUGACUUUGUUGGUUUUGUGAUAUGUUAUUAGAUGGCCACAGUUGUUAUUGUAAAUUGGCAUCUUUAGUUUUUGGUGAUUUGAUGGGUCUAUAGUUUUAAAAUGAUGUUUCUUCUAGGUGCAUGAUCCCCAGGUGAAGUUUCAUCUUUGAUCCUCUGCUUUCUUACUUAAAACAUCACAUACCUCUUUGAUAUACUCUAUGAAACAGAAACAUUCUCUUCUUUAAACUUCACUAAAUUGGCAAGUUGGAAGCAAACCUUUUUUUCUGCUUAAAAAUCAAUCACAGGCUGCGGUUUGUUUAGGGAGCACAUGCUUAGGAAAGUGAUCAUUUCUACCUAAAGUACAUCAAGUCACUACCAGUUACAGCUUAAUUAUCUUACAGUGUUGCUAGACGUAUCCGAAGCUAGUUGUAUUGAAAUCAGAGUAUUGUAAUAUAUACUAUCGGUAAUAUUACUAAAAGAAUAUUGCAUAGUUACUCUUUGAUAAAAUCAUCUUUAUCUGACCACCUGUUAUGUACUUGCUCAUAUAGUAGUUUAAUUUUUUUUUUUUUUCUUUUCAAGGACUUAUAGCUCCCUUCUCCAAUGAACCUUUUUUGAGGUAUGACCAAAGAUAGCACCUACUGUAGGUUUGUACGCCUAUGGUGAUGACUUAAACGUUUAUAAUGUGGUGAAUGGAGCUUACUUUUGUCUGUCUUAAGUAUCAUCAGUUGUAACCAGAUGAGCACCAGUUUGAAAACUCUGAUGGCUGUAAAGGAAAAUUUAGAACAAGUCGUCAUCAAAGAAAGCAUAAAGCUGGACAAUCAAAUAAGAAGUGGAAGUCUCCCUUAAUCAUCAGAAUAUACCUCAGCUAUAUCAGGAAAGUGAAAAUGAUAUUUUAUUCAGAAAACUAGAAUAUUUUGAAAAAUAUCUCAAAUAUUUUCAUGCCUUGUCUUGCAAAAAGAAUAAAACUCCUAAAAACAAAAAUUCUAAACAUGACAAAAAGAGUGUAGGCAAUAUCAAACCAACCAAAGAUGACAUUUAUCAGUAUCAAGUUUUUUCUUUCAUCUUUAUUCUUUUUCUUUAAGUUUGUUUUGAGAGAGAGUGAGAGCGUGCAUAGUGGGAGAGGGGCAGAGAGAGAGAGGGAGAGAGAGAGAAUCCCAAGCAGGCUCCAGGCUCAUUGCAGAGCUCUUGAGGGGCUUGAUCCCAUGACCCUGGGAUUAUGACCUGAGCCGAAAUCAAGAGUCAGACAGUCAACUUACUGAGCCACCCAGGCACUCCAAGAAAAACACAUUUAAAAAGUCUUAGGUAAGGGGCACCUGGGUGGCUCAGUUGGUUAAACAUCUGACUCGAUUUUGGCUCAGGUCAUGAUCUCAGGGGUUCAUGGGAUCGAACCCCUCAUAUGGCUCCGUGCUGGCAGUGGAGCCUGGUUGGGAUUGUCUCCUCUCCUUUCUCUGCCCCUCCCCUGCUCGUGCGCGCUCUCUCUCUCUCUCUCUCUCUCUCUCUCUCAAUGUAAAUAAAUAAACUUAAAAAAAAAAAUUCUUAGGCAAGACCUCUUGUCAGACAUAACUUACAAGGUUUUACAGAAACCUCAUCUCUCCCCAGGAAAGUAAAACAAGACACGACCAAAAGAGCUAUGUAAGUAUUUAUAUAUGUUUGCCUGUCAGGAUGAACACCGCAAACAUCAGGUAGCCAGUACUUCUAGAUAAUUGCAGUGAAGCUCUUAAAACUGCUUCUUGCUGUUUUGUUGAUAGGAUCCUAGCAGAUUCCAGAAAACAGAAAAGGGCACACAAAGGAAAUCAUUGUUGGCCUUGUAUUAGGAGUUGCCAUCCCUGAAAUAAACAGCUGGCCUCAGAGCAUAGAGCUUCCUUUGUCGUCCUGCCCAUCUGUGCUGGAAUUGAAAACAUGUAACUCAGAUGAAUUUUGGGUGGAGAGUCUGAAAGAUAAGCAGGUUUCUCAAACAGGCACAUCAAGCCCUAGAAAAAUAGGCAGUAGUUUUGAUCACAGUCAGGAGAUGUUUCUAACUCAGAGGACUUUUAUUUUUCCUGAUUGAGGCUUUCCCCCAGUUGUCAUUGUAGUCAAUGCAGUUAACUUGUCUUUAGCAACUCCCAAACAUUUUAGGGACAGAAGUAGGAAAGGGAAUCACCAUUCUGUGAUUCUGCAGAAAUUUAGCAAGUCUUUAGGUGGAGAAACAGUUCAAGCCACCUCACUCAGGACAACUUAAGAUCCUCUAAGAGAAUCAGAAGUCAUGUGGGCACCUAAGAGAGGGCCAGUCAGACAGAUUUCUUGAGUUCUUCAGCCAUAGCUACCUCCUUGUUCUUCAGAAAGAAAGUAGAUUUGGAUGAAAGCCUGUGGAUUUGAGUUGGACUGGAGGAAGCAGAACUUGGUUAAGAGGGGCUGAGUGUAUUUUCUAACCUGCUGGAUGCUAGUGAUGGAAUACAUAGGACUUCUAAAAAUGUUUUGGAGACCGUGAGCCUUUUAGAAGAUAAUGAUGAAGACUCUGGUAUGAUGACUGCAAUCCUUAGUAAUUAUAGCCAGAGGGGAAAAUGUGUUUGCAUCAGGUUGCCGUUUAGAUAAAAUAUAUUCAACAAAAUGGAAUUAAUGAUUUUUCUUAAAAAGUUACCUUGAUAACAAAUAUUCUUAGAAAGCUGUUAGUGAAAAUAAGACAAAGAACAUUUCAAGCAUAGAAAUUAUGCAGGAAUGUGAGCAAAUCCAAAUUUAAAGCAGAGUUUUUUAGCUUUUAUGUUUCACUGGGUUUUUUUAUUAAGAAAAUAAAAAAUCUUGGCAUGAUACACGCUUGUGAAUUUUAACAUUUUGUUGUAAAAUGAAAAUGGGCUGGGGAAAUGUGGCAACAGUAAUUUCUUGGGAUUUUAAUAUCAAGUUACCAACAACUAUAGAUAAGGCAAUGUUAGCUGACCUCAAUUUUGAAUGAGAAUAGAAAAUACUGUCGUCCACCUUUUUAGAAAAAAAGUUUUAAAAAUAUAUAGUUAUCUCAGUGUGAUCAUAUCUAUGAAACAGCUGAAUGGUAAAAAAAAAAAAUUGUUCAUGACGGUUUACAAAGAGGGAUUUUUGGCAAAUGUAAAAAUGACCAUAUUUUAAUUUUUCCCCCAAAAGUUUUGAUGUAAACAACCUGUGCCUAGGUUUCCUUAACACAUGAGAAAUAUUUAUUUAAAUAAAACCUAGAGUUUGAUCCUUAGCUAUUAAAUUAUAACUGUGCUUAUUCUAAAACAUUAUCCAAUUUAGAAAUAUGGGUACUUUUGUAUAAAUAGAUGAUUGCUUAAAUUCUCGAUUACAUCACCUAGUCUUUUUUGCAGUGGUUUAAGCAGUAAAAUUUAUGUUAUUCCAAAUACUAUUUUUUUAAUUUAACUUGUUUUAUUAUUUAAAAAAAAAUUUUUUUUUAAUGUUUAUUUUUGAGACAGAGACAGAGCAUGAACGGGGGAGGGUCAGAGAGAGGGAGACACAGAAUCUGAAAUAGGCUCCAGGCUCUGAACUGUCAGCACAGAGCCCGACGUGGGGCUCGAACUCACGGACCAGGAGAUCACGACCUGAGCCGAAGUUGGACGCCCAACUGACUGAGCCACCCAGGCGCCCCUUAUUAUUUAUUUUUUUAAAAUUUACAUCCAAAUUAGUUAGCAUGUAGUACAACAAUGAUUUCAGGAGUAGAUGCCUUAGUGUCCCUUACCUAAUUAGCCCAUUCCCCCUCCCACAACCCCUCCAGUAACCCUCAGUUUGUUCUCCAUAUUUAUGAGUCUCUUCUGUUUUGUGCCCCUCCCUGUUUUUAUAUUAUUUUUGUUUCCCUUCCCUUAUGUUCAUCUGUUUUAUCUCUUAAAGUCCUCAUAUGAGUGAAGUCAUAUGAUUUUUGUCUUUCUCUGACUAAUUUUACUUAGCAUAAUACCCUCCAGUUCCUUCCACAUAGUUGCAAAUGGCAAGAUUUCAUUCUUUUUGAUUGCUGAGUUAUACUCCAUUAUAUAUAUAUGUGUGUAUGUGUAUAUAUAUACACGUAUAUAUGUAUACAUAUACAUAUAUAUGUAUACAUAUACAUGUGUAUGUAUAUAUAUGUGUAUAUAUAUAUAUACACACACACACAUAUAUAUACACACAUAUAUAUAUAUACACAUAUAAAUAAUAUAUGUAUAUGCCACAUCUUUAUUCAUCUGUCGAUGGACAUUUAGGCUCUUUCUAUACUUUGGCUAUUGUUGAUAGUGCUGCUAUAAACAUGGAGGUGCAUGUGUCCCUUCAAAACAGCACACCUGUAUCCCUUGGAUAAAUGCCUAGUAGAGCAAUUGCUGGGUCAUAGGGUAGUUCUAUUUUUAGUUUUUCGAGGAACCUUCAUACUGUUUUCCAGAGUGGCUGCACCAACUUGCAUUCCCAACUUCAAAUACUGUUUUUAAGGCUCAAAGCUCACUGUUUGUGAAUUCAGGGUCUUAAAUAUUAUUUGUACAUUGUUCCUGUGUUAUAAUAAUAUCACGUUAUAUAAUAUUUUGUAGCUACUUUUGACCAAUGUGAGAAUAGAUGUGAUAUCAUAGUAUAUGGUGUAACUGUUGUUGCAAAGUUAUUUGUUCUUUUAAAUUGCGUUUUUAUGUUUCCCAUAAUAUACAGUAUUUUUCUCAAAUUGCAUUUGUAAAUACUAAGCCAGUUUAGAGCUGUGCAUAAAUGAUCCUUGUCUGAGCUUACUGAAAAACUGACUUAAGUGUUUUUAAUUUGUAGAAUAUAUUACUUGCCAGAUGUUUUUGGUUCUUCAUAUAAUUUCAAAGCAACUCUCCUAUUAUGCUAAAUAUUAAUUUCCAAAAAUUUGUGAAUGACUUUAGUUGUCAUACCUCAUUUGAAAUAAAGCUUGUGAGGGGCACCUGGGUGGCUCAGUUGGUUAAACGCCUGACUUUGGCUCAAGUCAUGAUCUAUCUCACAGUUCGUGAGUUCGAGCCCCACAUCGGGCUCUGUGCUGACAGCUCGGAGCCAGGAACCUGCUUCAGAUUCUGUGUCUCCCUCUCUCUUUGCCCCUGCUCAUGCCCUCCUUCCCUCUCUCUCUCUCUCUCUCUCUCCGCCCCCCCCAAAUAAAUAAAUAUUAAAGAAAAGCUUAUGAAAUCAAGCUUCUUAAAGAAAUAAAGUUGGUGAUCUUGCCUUUUUCACUACAGUCAUUCCAAGAUAGAAAUGCUUAAUAUGUUUAGAUUUCUACUUUUACACAGAAACUUUGAUCCCUUUAAUAUACGUAAAAAGUAAAAAGUUGCGAUCAGUGAAGAGCAUUUUAGAUGGGGGUACUUGGUUGUGUUUGUUGGUGGAUAAACAUUGAACAAUAGUACUGAGAUACUUUUUCUGUGCUGCAUACUUAAUUGACCACUGCCAAAAAAAAAAAAAAAGUAAUGCUACACUCUCCAAAGCCCCUAUUCCCUUCUUGAAGUGAUUAGGUCUUAUCCUUCUCUUUUAGUUUGCAGGCAGGGACCAUCCACUUAACUGCCACACCAGGAAUCUCAAAUAUGCAGGGACAAGAGAAAUACUUGUUUCUCAUCAGGCUCUUGGACACCCUUUGGCUAUAUACUCAGGUGAGUGGUCGUUGGGAUUGCCCUGCAUUCUCUGGUCUGGAGAUUGGAAUCAAGACUUUGAAGUUUUUCUAUAAUCUUUCCCAGAGACUUGCUGUAUAGCCUGGCUUCAGGGACAUGCUGGAGCCUCCUAGUGGUGGCCUCUGGGCAUGGGAAUGUUCAUAACAACAGGGUGAAUGGGGCCUACUGAGUUCAAAGUACUUUGGCAUGAGUUAUUAUCACUGCACAGGGGUUUAGGCACAUACCUAGCAUCUCAUAGAUUGAAACAUGAUGAAGGAUAAUGAUGUGUUCUGACCUUCCAGGGUGUGGUGGGAAUGAGCAGAGAAGGGCUUUGGUGUCAAUGGAUAGUUUAGCCUGGAGUGUUCCACAGAAACACAAAAGCAGAAUCGCUGUGCAUAAUGACAACCUUUGGCUGGAUCAGAGUGGGACCCAGGUGAGUCAAAUCUCUUGGUGAUUUGAAUCUGCUUUUAAGGUUUUGCUGCGCUGCACUCUGUGAAUUUCAAAUGGUCUCAGUCAAUUUGGCUGAUCCAUUCAUUUACUUAGAGACUUUACAAAUUAAGCUAGUCAAUACCUACUGAAUACCUACCCUAUGCUACAUACUGUGUUAAGUGCUGUGGCAAAUUCCGAGAUGAAUCUCCGUUCUUGCCCUCUAGGAGCUCAUAGUCUGGUGGGGGAUAUAAGAUAUGUAGACUAAUAACUGGAAUAGAGGGUGGAUAGUGGUAAUGAUUCAAGACAAAUACAAAUAGCAUAUACAGUGAGUUCAGAGGAGGGAGAGAUAGUCAAAAGCUGGUGAAAGAUCUGGGGUAAAUUUUCAGAACAAGAAGUAUUUGCACUGAACUUUAAGGAUUAGAGACGCAGAGGGCAUGCUGGAAGAACCACGGCAGGAAAAUCUGAGUGUUUAUACAAAGUGAGAAGUUUUGUUUGGUUAGCAAGGGAGAUUGGAAAAGAUAGGUUGAAGCUAGAUCCUAGAGGAUCCUCAUCUUCUGUGCAAGGAGUUUGGCCCUUGUUCUUUAGGCAGUGAACAUUGUAGAAGAGUGCAACCUCAUGGAUGAAUGUUUUAGGAGGAGCUGGCGGUAGGACGUAGGAUGGAUGGGGGAAGGAAAAGAUGGAAUGUGGAGAAAUAUGAGGCAAUUUGGGGGAUGGUAUAGGCAGGUGGAAUGGAGACGAGUGGGUAACUUAGUUGUUCAGGAGUAGAAUUAACACAACUUGGAAACAUUAUAAAAAGGGGCAGAGGACAGAUAUGAAUGAAAAAUGCUAUGACAGUUCCAAGCAUGGGUGGCAGAGGAGAUUGGUGGAACCAACAGGGGGUAAAAAAGGCAAAGCAUAUUUGGAGGGAAAUGGAAGGGGUUCAGUUUUGGACAAGAGGGGUUUGAGGUGGAGGAUACAGGAUACAGUCUCAUUUGCAUUGAGGAGAAAACAAAGCAGCAUAUUUCUGUAAGAUUUCAAAGGACAGAUGGAGAGAGAUCUGUUCUCUGUGGAGAAAGAGUGAGAAACAGUAUAGAAGUGAGUCGGUGCUCAGGAGUCAGAUCUCAGUUUGAAUUUCAGCUCUGCCACAUACUCUUUGUGGCUGUGGCAAGUUACUUAACCUCUCUGGGCUCAGUUUAAUCAUCUACAAAAUGGGAUAGAAAAUAGCAUUUUUCUCAGAGUGGAUGUGAGAGUUCAGUUAGAUGAUAUAUGUCAGAUAUUUAGAAUGACUCCUGGCAUGUGUUCAAUAAAAGCUAAUUAUUUUAAAAAAUUUACUACCACUAAUAAUGGAAAUGAUUGUGGACAGAAACUUGGGGGCAUGGACAUUUUUGGGGCUUGGGGGAGGAGAAAUUAGAGAAGUAAGAAGUAAGAAAUUAGAAAAGUAAGAAAAAACAACAGAAGAGGAUCAAUGAACUAUAGUUUUGCAGUGUUAGGAAAGAAUUUUACAAGGACUUGGUGACCACUGUUAAUCAGUUGAAGUGAGAAGUUAAUGUGGAUGAGUCUAGAGAAAAUAUACUAUUAAAUUUGGAAGGGGAAUAUGUUAAUUUGCUAGGGCUUCCAUAUCAAAGUACCACAAAUUGGGUGGUUUGAACAACAGAUAGGUAUUGUCUCACUUCUGGAGGCUAGGGGUCUGAGAUCAAGGUGUUAGCAGAGUUGGUUCCUUCAGAGAGUGUGAGGGAAGAAUCUGUUCCAUGCCUUUCCCCUCACUUAUGGUUUAGUGGCAAUCUUGGCAUUCCUUGGUAUGUAGAUAUAGUACCCCAAUCUCUGCCUUUGUCAUCACAUGGUAUUUUCCCUGUGUGUAUGUCUGUGUCCAAAUUUCCUCUUUGUAAUAACACCAGUCAUAUUGGAUUAGGGGCCCUCCCUACUCAGUAUGACUUCAUUUUAACUAAUUAUAUCUGCAACAACCCUAUUUCCAAAUAAUGUCACAUACUGAGGCUCUGGAGGUUAGGACCUCAACAUAUGAAUUUUGUUGGGACAGAAUUAAACUCAUAACAGGGAAGGUGGACUUCGGAAGAAUAGUUUAGGCAGAGAUCAGAUUAUACAUAGAGCAAGAAAGGAAGAAAGUGGAACUCUAAGAUGGAAGUAAAACUGAAGAACAUGGGACAAAGGGAAGUAUAUUGUCCAUGAGGGCAAAGAAGAUGUUUAAAAUGAGCAGAAAGCAAGAUGGAUGGAUGAGCCAUAGUCUGUGUCUAUACCUAAGUCCAGAGGAUGGCCUUUACUAUACCCUUCUCCUAGGCCCCGUGCUCUUUUCUUUUGUUUUUACUUGAAUUGUAUGGAGAAUUGGUUUAUCUCUCCAGUUUGCUCAUGAAAAAAUAGUUAAGAAAUUGUUACCAAGAGAGAAAGAAAGGGAGCACAUGCGGAUAGCUCUGAUUGAUAUUUUACUGUAGAAAUAUAAUGAGGGAGGACAGAAGGGAGUCAUCCUUUGCAUACAACUGGAGUAUAUCUACUUGUAGAAUUUCAGGAUUUCUUAAAAAAUUUUCAUAAAUAUAUAUAUAUAUAUAUAUUUUUUUUACAAAAGAAGAUAUGUAGCUUAGAAUGAAGAACAUUUCCUUUGAGAAAAAGCUUUAAGGAUAGUAAUAAGCUUAAUUAAAUAGUGUUUCAUAUUCAGAAGGGAACAAAAUUAUAAAUGUACAUACAACUUUCUCAACCAUAUGUUCUUUUUAAUGAUAUUAAUAUAUCCCUAGAGAUAAUAGUAAAGCUUCUUCCUAAUUAGGUAGUAUUUUAUUAAACUGAAAGAAAUCUCAUGUUAGUUUGAAUACUAUUUUCAAGAAUUAAAUAACACUUAUAGUCUCAGAUAAAGAGGAUUUUGCUUUCUUCCAUGGAAAUUAUUGGUGCUAGUCAAAAACCAAUUUUAGAAUGAGGGAAACAAGGAGGCUGCUUGCUAAUUGAAGACAAUUCAAAUUCUCCAAGAUUUUGCCAAGCACGAUUAUAUUAUUGCUAAUGCUAUUUAUGCCAAGAUAGCUAUUUUAAGUAAAAAUUAGGAUAAUUUAAACUUUAUAAAAAUGUAAUUUCUGCAGUUGACUAAUUUUUUUCAGUCAAAUCAGUCAAAAUGAUUUUCAUUUAUAGAUUCAGCCUAAAUUAACUUUAAGAGUAUAGUAUAGAGCAAGGUCAUGAGGACGGGGACUGGAAAAAGAAAGACUAGAGUUCAAACCCUGGUUCUGUGAUUAAAAAGGAUGUAAAAUUGGGGCGCCUGGGUGGCGCAGUCGGUUAAGCGUCCGACUUCAGCCAGGUCACGAUCUCCCGGUCCGUGAGUUCGAGCCCCGCGUCAGGCUCUGGGCUGAUGGCUCAGAGCCCGGAGCCUGUUUCCGAUUCUGUGUCUCCCUCUCUCUCUGCCCCUCCCCCGUUCAUGCUCUGUCUCUCUCUGUCCCAAAAAUAAAUAAACGUUGAAAAAAAAAAAAAAACUUAAAAAGGAUGUAAAAUUGAAAAUGAUACAGAUCAAAAUAAUUAUAAGGAGUACUACAUGUACCUCUAUGACAAUAUGUUGAAAACUAAAUGUACUUCUAUGACAAUAUGUUUGAUUUCCAACUCCCCCCACCCAACUAUAAAUCCCCCAAAGGAAUAAGCUGAAGCAGAAAAUAUGAAUGUACCAAUUACUAUACAACAUGUCAGAAAGGUGAUUAUAAAGCUAUGGUUGAAGAAGACAACAGGCCUAGACAGAUUCACAAAAUUGUUUUUCUCAUUUUUAAAGGAUAAUAAAAAUGUUUUAUAAACUAGGUCAUAGACAGUGAUCAUAUAUGAAUAUAGGUGCAACAUUUAUAAAUAAAAUAUUAACAAAUAGAUUUAAUAAUGUAUUUAGGAGUAGUAAAACAAGUACACUUUGUUUCAAAAAUAUAAAUACUGGAAACCUAUUAACAUCCAUUUAUCAACAAAUUAAGGGAAAAAAACCCAACAUCUCCAUUUGACAGACACUUGAUUAAAUUCAGCAACUAUCCCUAAGAAAAACUAUCCCCCCCACAAUAAAGAUCAUUUACCAAAAAGAACAGCAAAUAUUAUCCUAGAUGGUAAAAUAGUAAAACCAUUUUAAUUCAAACCAAGAAUUAGACAGAAAUGCCUACCCUUGUCAUUAUUAUUUAACAUUGUCUUGGAGAUUUGUGCAAGUGUAACAAAUAAGUAAAAUAACUGGUAGAGAAAAUACUGGGGAAGAGGAGAAAAACAAGCUCACUUUUUGACUAUUUGACUAUAUACAUGGAAAAUCCAGGAUACCAUAGUAAAACUUCUUAGAGUUAAUAAGGUAAUUUGGCUAGGUGUCUAGAUGCAAGAUAAAUACAUUAAAAUCAGCAAUUUUUAUGUACUACAAAAAUAAAUAAGUACAAAUGGAAAUGUUCACAACUACUUAAUAACAACAGAGCUAUAAAAUAGGAAGAAAUUUAACAAGAACAAGACUUAAUAUGAAGCAAAUAAAUCAUUAGGAGUUAUAUGUCUUCUAGAAGGACAUAAAACAAGAUAUGAACAAAUAAAAACACCAUGUUUUCAGAUGGGAAGACAAUGUUAAAAUUGUCAAUUCUUCUAAAAUUAAUAUGUAAAAUUAAUGCAGUUCUUACUAGGAUCCCAGGGGCUUUGAGUGGGAAGGAUUUGAUAAAAUGGUAUUAAAGUUUGUGUAGAAGAAUAAAUGUUCAAGAUGGCUCAGAAAAAUAUGAUAAAAAGAUUAGUGAGAGAGGGUUUAUAGAAUGUCAGAGCAUACUAUAAAUUAAGUAUUACACUGGUACAAGAAUAGGUAACUAGAUCAGUAAAAUAGAAUAAAGAGUCUGGAAAUAAACCCUGGAUUAUAUAAGCAUCGUCUACAUUAGGAAGUUGGAAGUAUAGCUCAGUGGGAAAAGAAUAUAUUCUGUGAUGAAUGGUCCUGGCAGAACUGGCUAUCUACUUGGAAGAAAAACUUGGAUCCUUAUCUUAUGUUUAUUCCAAAAAAAAAUAAAGAUCUAUAUAAAGACUAAAUAUAAAAAAUUAUACAGUAACGUCUUGCAAGAUAAUCUGAGAGACUACAUUCCCACAUUUUCUAAGAAUUGGGAAUGAUGGGGAAAGACCCCUUUAACCAGAAGUUUAAUCAUCUUUAUAUAAAAAUUCAUCCUUUUGUAUGGCAAAGAUCAUCAGCAGAGUCAAUAGACAGAUGACUGAUUUGGAAAAAAAACUAAUUGUCAUGCAGGUGAUAGGUAUAUAAUUUGUAAUGAAAAUAUACCAAGAACUCUUACAAAUAGUGAGCAAAAGACAAACUACCCAGUAAAAAUGGCCAAGUCUUAUAAACAGGCAUUUUGUGGAAGAGCAAAUCUUGUUGCCAGCAAACGUGACAAGGUGCCCAAAUUCAUUAGAAGUUAGAGAAAUGCAAAUUAAAGUAAUAAUGAGAUUAAUCCUUACCUCUACCAGACCAGUGGAAAGAAGCAGUGAUGCAGACUGCUGGUAGGAUAUAGAGAAAGAGGUAUGCGCGUCCUUUGCCAAAGGAAAGGUGAACUAUUUCAGUCCUUCUGAAAGUAAUCUGGCAAUUCCUUUUAAAAAUAAAAAUAUCUUUCCUGCCACUUGGCAAUCCCUCUCAUGGACUUUCUUUUAUACAAAUAAGCCCAUUCUAAUUUAAAAAGAUUUCUUUAAGAUAUUGUUAAAUGAGAAAAACAAGAUGCCAGGAAAUGUAUGAUUCAGUUUUUAUAAGACAAACAAUGAAAAGCCUUUGCCAAUAUGAAUAUGAGUAUGUGAGAUUAUAGUAUGGAGAAGUAUACAGAAGGACAUAUACUAGGCUGUCAGCAUGAGUUUUCUGUGGAAUUAGAAGGAGAACAGAUAGUAAAACCAAUAUAAUUUUUCAACAAUUUCCUAUACAACACAUUUGCUUAUUUUUUCAGAUUAAAAUUUUUGUCUUACUGAAAAUUUUCUAUUAAGGUUAGUUUUUCCAUAAACAUUUUUUGACAAAGACUCAAUAAUUAGCGUUUUCUUCCUAUCUAGCUGGACUGACUAUAACUUACGUUAUUGGGAAUUUUCUUUUGGACCAUUAUUUUUAACAAGUAUGAUUCUCCUGGGUACCUUAUCAAAGUUUUGUGAAGAAGAUUCUAUUUUUUACAUAUAAUUUUUGGCUCAAAUUUUGCUGUUUUCAGUAUUACCUGAAAGAUAGGAUUCUUCUUAUGAUUUUUCAGUCAAUAUAAAUGUUACUGUUCAAAGAUUUUGCCAUUGCAAGUUUUACUUUGUAUGGAUUAUUUAUGCAAGUCAUGUUUAUUAUGGAUUGGAUGUGGUGGUGAUUUUAUAUUUUUUGCCCAGAGAAGAAAAGCAAAUUAAUAGAGCAGAGAUGUGAGAUCUGAAUGCACGAUGGAUGAAAAUAUCUUUGAGGUCAGCACUUGAGGUUAAAAUGCUCUUCUUUGUACCUGACAUAGACUAGGUGCUUGGUAGUUACUAUUAUUAUUUCUUGAAGGUAUAAAUCAAUCCUACCUUGUUUAGCCAUCUUAUGCUCUGCAAGCCUUUGUGAUUGGGAUUUAGGGAGACAAUAAUCUGAAAAUCCACAUGUUAAGGUGAAAUCUGACAUUUAAGCAUUGGUGGCUAAUUUGAAUUUUAUGAACCACAGUGUGGGCUAACAUUAUGUAGUUUCCGUGAAGUGUGUCCACAGGCUGCAUACUACUUUUUGACUUCUGGUGCAGCACAACUCUUGGCUGUCCUAAUGUUCCUGAUGCUGGAAAUGUGGCCUACUAGAAAAAUGUCAUCCUCUGUCUGAGAAGUCCCUCCUGCCACAGAAAUUUGACUGGAACCCCAGGACCAGAUAAGUCAGGUACGCCCUUGUUUCAGAUCGGAACGAUGGAAGAGAAGUGUGCUAGAGAGGGGUCAUCUAGGUGCAUCCCAUAUGGUCUCUCAUGUAUUUCCCUUCAUCCCUAUGAACUAGCUGCAUGGGAUGCUGGCUCUCCAGCAGCAGGUGGCAGCAUUAGCCCAAAGAUUGGCCACGUUAGGGCCUGUAAUACUCCCAAUUCCUUCCUUAUUCGUAUGUGUGUGUAUAUGUAAGAGAAGGAACAGAUUACUCCCCAUCAGUUUUAGGGGGAAGAAAAUGAUUUUCCAUAUACUUAAAAAUUUAAAAAAAUAUUUAAGCCCCUACUAUGUGCCAGCCACUGUGCUGUGCAUUUUAUUUUUAACUGAUUUUUAUUUAGUUUAUUUUUUUUGAGUAUAGUUGACACACGAUGUUACAUUAGCUUCAGGUGUCCGACUCAGUGGUUUGUCGAGUUUACACGUGGUGCCAUAUUCACCGCAAGUGGUGUGCUGUGCAUCUUAAUGGUCGUGUUGUUUAAUUUUCACAACCUGUGAGGCAGGCUACUAUUUCUCUCAUUUCAAAGGUGAAGAAAUUGACUUUUUGAGGCUAAAGGAAUCUGCCUGAGGCUGUACUGUUUCUAAGAGGCAGAGCUGGGUCUGCAGUUACUAGAUCUUUGACUGUUUUCCUGGAAUCAUACCUGUCAUUCAGAUCUGGAGUCGACUUUCUGUCUCAGUUCUCCUGACAUUUGCCUGAUUAAUGUUGUUGAGAAACUUGGGCUGGAUUUGGGGACAGAGAAAGCUGGCAUGGCAGAGGAUAUUUGCCCCAGAUGCUGGCCAGGUGGUGUGCCCCAAAGCUGGUGAUAGAGGGAAGAUGGAUGCUAUUACGGAGGAACACCAUGCUUUCAGUCUGGAGAAUGGAUGUAGAGAUUUGAUGUGUUUUUUCUUUCUUAUAUAACAAUUCCUAUGACAAGAACAGAUUACCUUUUUCCUGAUUUCUUACUAUUCAAAGUAUUGGCAUAGAAAAGAAGUUCUAUGAGAAGUUUAAUGCUUCUUGUGAUAAAUGUGAGGGGCUGGCUUUUUGGUAAUUAAAGCUGCAGGAUGUUUGCGUGACAGACCGGUCCUUGGCUAUUUCAUACUGUGUCAGAAUGUAUUUGAUUAAAAAUGGCUAAUCUCAUGAUUUUAUAUAAAUGGCUCAAAAAUGGUAGAUAGUCCGCUAAGUAAAUUAGAUCAGCCAGCAAAGUUCACAAUUUCUUCUGGUAAGGCAGUGUUAGGUAGAGAGCAGCUUCAGAACUAAUUCUCCCUUGCCUGUGUGAUCUUGUGUAGUAAGCAACUCAUUCUUCAUCUGUAAAGGAGGGGAUGGGCUGGAUGACACCAGAAGUUUUCUUCCUGCUUUUCAAGCCCGUGAUUUUCUGGAGUCCCCGUGGAUCUAUAUGUGAACAGAACUAGCCCCCUUCCAGGCAGAGGAGCUCCAGAGGUGGGCACAGAGAUUAGAUAAGACCUUGUAUCUUUACAGGAAUGGUCCCAAGUCACUGGCAAGUUAGGAACCGACUAAAAAGGACACUAUUAUAUCACAUUUAAAGAGCAUGGCUUUGGAGUCAGACAGUCCUUAUCCAAAUCUUGCCUCCACUGAUGACUAGUUAUAUAAUCUUAGGCAAGUCACUAUAACUCCCUGAAUCUCGAUUUUCUUAGUAGAUACCUUAAAUUUGCUGUGGGUUUUAAGAGUCAUGGUAAAACACGUGAUAGUUACCCAAUAAAUGGUAAUUCUUCUCACUAGUGAUUGUUAUGGGUUGAAUUGUGUCACCUGAAAAUUCGUAUGUUGAAAUCCUGGCUCUCAGCACCUCCGAACGUGAUCUUAUUUGGAGAUAUGUUUUUUUUCCAGAGGUAAUCAAGUUAAAAUGGGGUCAUUAAGGUGGGCCUUAAUCAAAUAUGGUGUCCUUAUAAAAAGGGGGAUUUAGGCACAGAGAUAUACAUAGAGGGGAGAUGAUGUGUAUAGAUGCAGGGAGAAGACAGCCAUCUGUGCCAAGAAGAGAGCCCUGGAACAAAUGCAUCCCUCAUGGCUCUCGGAAGAAACCAAACCUGCUGACACUUUGAUCUUGGACUCCAGCCUCCAGACUGAGAGAGAACACGUUUCUGUGUUUAACCUACCCAAUCGGUGGUGCUUUAUUACCACAGCCCCAGCAAACUACUACACCUAUUUUCACUCAGGUUGCUAUUCUACUGCCAUCUUGUUCCCCUCUGAGUGCACCUUGUGUAGCACCUAUACAAGGACAAGUUGUGGCUUUAUGUUCACUGCCUCAGCUGCUCCAAAGUGGUCGGCCAGCCUUUGGGAUGGUAUUGAAAUAGUUCACAUUUAUUGCUACCAUUUCAUAUUCCAGGACAUUGAGGCACAGGUAUGUUUAGCAACUCAUCUCAAGGUCACACACCUAUGAAGUAGUAGAGCCAAGAUCUAGAUGGACCCAGACAUUCUGUCCCCAGAAUCCUUGCCCUUAAUUCUCACAGUGACAUGUUAACCACCAUGCAGAGAAGCUUGGAGAUGAUGGGUUGAAAGAAGAGUAAGUCUGAGUGGCCGCCUCUUAUCAGCAGGACAGAACUGACAGCUCUGUGUGUUCAGCACUGGCCUCCAUGUAUCUCUGUCAUCACAUCACUGGAACAUGCUAGUCAAUGGUGCCCACUGCCUGCAGAUCACUGAGCCUGCUAAGAAGUUCCAUUGGCCAGAGUCCAGAGCUAUUGCUCUCAUUUUAGGUCCUGGACCCUUCAUCUUUCAGGAUUUCCCCAAGCUGCCGUUGAUGAAUUUUUGGGCCUCUGCCCAAGGAUCUGAUGUAGAAAAGCACUAUGGAGGGGCGGAAUGCCAUAGUGGUUAGGGGUGCAGGCUCUGAUGUCAGAUGCUUGGGUUUGGAUACUGGCUCUGUUAGUAAUUUAGUUAGCCUCAGAUACUCACCUAUGAAAUGGGGAUGGCAGUAGUAUUUAUUUCAUAUGGUUGUCUUGAUGAGGAUUAUUAAUGCAUACUCAUUUCUUAGAUCAACACUUGGUGGGUACUUAAUGCAUGUUGGCUAUUAUAACAUGUCCGUGGGAUGGGAUAUAGUACUAUAAUGGUAACUAUAUAGGAGUGCAUCUCUUCCAGGAAGAAGACUGAACUAUAUCCAGUCUGUAGUAAUAAAUUCAUAAAAUUUCAAUAACCUGCCAUCCAUAUUGCCAUACAAAUACAGAGCUUGAUGUAUAUGCAAGAAUUAUUAUUUCAGGAAUUGUGCAAUUCAGUAGAAAAUGUUCAUAGCGUAUAAUAAAUAUUUGUUGAAUGAAUGAAUGAAAUGAGAGGUGAGGCCCUGGUGCUGCAGGAGGGAGGGGAAUGCAGGCUGGCCGAGAGAUGCUUGGGCCACUAUGACAAAAGAGUAGUAAAUUAUCCAGAGACCCAGCUCUAGAGGAUGGGGUGAACUCUGAACCAAGACAACAGGUGGAGAUGUGGAUGGCAGCAGGCAUCUCAGGACCCUGACUGUGGCCAUCAGUGGGGGAGAUGCUGGGGCCAAGGCUGGGCUGGCCUGGGAUCAGGGGCAAGGAGAAGCUCUAUUCCAGGUUAGGGGACUGAUGGGAAAUUCAAGGAGGACAGAAGCCUGUCAGACAGGCAGAAGGACUAUUCUCUGGGAAUUAGAGAUGGCCUCUGGCUCUGUGCUCACUCACCAGAUCUCUGGGGGCAGGCCUGGGGGCAUCGGAAGACUGCAGACCCUGGUGGCCACGUGAGUUAGCCUACCUCCUGAACACUGAGGACAGGUCUUUAUUACUGGCAGCUGGGAGGUGCCGGACACCUGGACUGAGAGAGAGUGUCAAGGACUGGAUGCCAGCCUACAUGCUGCAAGGCACGGGGAUGAUGCCGAAGCCCAGCGAAAAUGAGCCCUCCCAUUCUGAACCCGAAACUUGUGAUAUGACCUGGAACUUUUAAAGUGGAGUCAAUUAAAGGCUUUCCAGAAGCAAUGGAAAGAUUUCUAUUACGUUUGUCAGUAAGAAGUGUAAAUUAUUAUAAUCUUUUUGGAGAGUUAUUUUGCGAUAUUAUCACAAUUUAAAGGAUGUUAAUUGCAGUGGUGUUUGUGACUGUAAAAAGUGGAAAUGAUCUAAAUGCCAUCAACAGAAGAUUGGUUAAAUAAGUAAUAGUACUACUGUGUAUUUCAAUCAAAGAUGAUGAAGUAAACAUACAUGUACACUCAUGUACAACAAACAUACAAAGGUUACCACAUUGUAUUUUAUGAAAAAAGCGUGCUUCAGAAGAAUGAAUCACUAAUGCCCUGUGGGUGUAAAAAAAGAAUUAUGUGCAUAUAAUACACGUUUGAGUAAUGCAUGGAACAUAUCUGGAAGGACACAAACCAAAUGAGCAGUGGCUAAUUCCAGAAAGAGGGCUUGAUGGGAGAUGGGAGGGUGAGGAAAGGGAAGAGGGUAUUUUACUUUGUACUUCAUAGAUUUCUGUACUAUGUGCUUAUAUUGUUUUGUUUUACAAGUAUUUAUUGAGUGCUGUUUUUUUAAAACGGUGUAAAAAAAGAAUCUCAAAAUAAAACUGAAGUUUGUUACCUUGGU